GGGAUAUGUUGAAUGUACCUGUUUUAUGCAAUGGCUGCACAGUUAUAUAUUUUUAUGUAUUUUAUUGUCUUUUGCUGCCAUGUGUUCAAUUGAGUUUUGCCUCUGUCCUUGGAGAUAAUUGGAUUACUUCCCAAUUAUCUCCAGGAUAGAAGACUCUGUGGAACUGGUUUUGGGCAGAAAAGCCAUGCUUCAUUUAGUCACAAAGGACUACGAUCUAUUGUUUGAACCACUGGACCAAUUUGUAUGAUUUUGGCGUAUGUUUGUAUUUGGAGUAUGCUGAUUCCGAAAAUGUAAGUUUUAUGUGAAUGUGAUGCAUACUUUUAAAAUUAUGAAUUAUGUGGAAAAACUGUAUUUCUC
Molecule: non-coding RNA, 357 nt
Organism: Pelobates cultripes (western spadefoot toad)
Lineage: Eukaryota; Metazoa; Chordata; Amphibia; Anura; Pelobatidae
Source: the annotation of a GenBank genome assembly